Molecule: long non-coding RNA, 1098 nt
Organism: Candoia aspera
Lineage: Eukaryota; Metazoa; Chordata; Lepidosauria; Squamata; Candoiidae
Exons: 3
Source: RefSeq, a predicted model, not a curated record
CUGCUUUGCGAAAAGGAGAAGUUAGUUUGGGCUAGGAAAAAAAACCAAUAGGAGGGGGAUUCCGGCCUGCCCCAAACAGCCCUGAUUGGUUGAGAUGGGCUUCCCAGGAGGGGAAGGCAGGGGGAAAUUCGUUGGUCCGCUCAGCAUAAAAUGCCCGGGAAGGAGCGCGGUGGACCGGGUCGGAGUGCAGUUUGUGUUCGUGGCGGACCGGUCAGACGGCUGCGUCCCUGCAGGCAAGGCCCCCGCUGCCUCUUUGGCACUGGCCAGCACGGCUGAGCGAGGCCACCUACCUGGCGAUGCCGCCUUCCGAAGCCGGCCAGAGGCCAACGACCUGCCUCGGGUGCUCACGUGCAGGAGAUGGAGGCAUAGACCUCCCCUGGCAUUGUUCCAUGCAACUGGUGUUUGGAGGCAAGCUGCCCCCAACCUGGAAGUAACACUGAGUCCUCAAGAUCAACAGCCCUUAUGAAAUGAUUUAAGUGUGGAGUGUUACUGUCGCUGGAAUGAUCUUCACACCCUUACUCUCUGUUCAUGUUGCUUUCCUCUGUGGGGUUCGCAGUGUGCAGCUUGGUCUCUCCAGCAACAGAAUUCGCUGCCUCCUAUUCUGCUUUCAGUCAAUUACCAGCUUCUGUGAAAGCAUAAGAAUGGGCAACGGAAUCCCAAAAGCAGCUGUUUUCCUCUGAGUCUUCCAGCUGCACUUGGAUUCCGUUCCUUGCUCUUUUGCCCACCUCUCCGGGAUUUCAUUGAUUCUUUUCUGUAACUUGUGGCAUAGGGAACUGUCUGGGGAGCCACUGGAAGGAACAAGAUCUUUUAAAAAAAUAAUAAAGUGCAAAGACCCAGUUCUGUUCAAUAAUGAGAACUGGAAACUUGUUCUUUUUAAAAUGAUUAGUGAGAAGCUCAGCAUCCGCUCCAAAAUUCUGAGCUAGCUAGCCACCAAGAGCAAUGGAUGCCACAGGAUUCUUUGUUCAGUGGUAGAAAAUUAGACCACGAUAUAGAGAGAGACUGGCAGUUCUUAAACUGGCUAAAUAUCAACGAUGAAGGAAAAUAAAAUGUUGGGUAGAAGUAUGAAACAAUAAUAAAGAAAAAUUUGUUUGCCUCCUG